This is a long non-coding RNA of Oryzias melastigma (Indian medaka), 3355 nucleotides long. RefSeq lists it as uncharacterized. The transcript is spliced from 13 exons. Lineage: Eukaryota; Metazoa; Chordata; Actinopteri; Beloniformes; Adrianichthyidae. The record is from RefSeq and is a predicted model, not a curated record.
UCAUGAUUAAAAACAAGCUUUUCAUUGGCUUACUAUAGAAAUGUAAAAGAACACUAAACACCAAAUCCAUAUCGUAAAGUGUUGUUUUAAAGAAGAAAUUUUGGCGGUAAAAAUCCUAAAAUGGGAGCUUAAACCCUUUGACAGAAUUUCAUGAUGUCAGCAUUGGUAUAUAUCUGUGCUCAUUCAUGCACAUCUUUUUCUAAUCCGUUCACAUAUCCAGGCCAGCCACCUUUCCGUGACGCAGAGCCCUGACCCCGGUUUAAUCGCUUUAGCUUCUUCUAUCUGCCGCCAUGUUCAAGAUCAAGUGACAAGCGCUGCCGCGUGCAACUUCUCCCGCAGCGUUUGCAUGCAGGCACGUGCCCGCGUGCGCACGCUGCGGGCUCGUGACGCCUGACUGGAGGCACGCGCGUUUGCUCACGAGCGCUUCCUGCUUUGAUGCUGUGGCCUUGAAAACGAAAAAAAAAAAGAAAGGAAAGAAAAAUGAAACAGCAGCAGUCUAUACUUAACGACCACUGGUUGCUAUGGGGAAUUUCCUAAAUCACACGUCAACAAUUGUUUUUGACAGUUCUGUUUAAAUUUAGCACAUUUUGUGAUGGGUUCACGUGUAUUUAUACAUUACUUUGAACAUUUUCUGAAGUGAAAAAUGUGCUUUAAGGUUUGUAAAAGCCGUGUAGAGGACAUCGUUUCAUUGAUGAUUUGAUGAAGAACAUCUGGUGGAAGAGGCAGAGCCAGAGCAGAGCAAGCUAAAACUUUGUUCUAGAUUUUUCUGUCUUAAUGCUUCAAAUCACAAUAGAGAAUGUGAUUGUAAGUAAAAUGUGGCUUUCUGGAAGUUUCCAAACUAAAGAAGGAGCUGGAAAAAGGCACCAUGCAGCCUAAUUGUUGGGAUUUUGUUGUGCUAGCUGCUAGCUUAAAUCACAAGAAAGCUGCCCUUGCAUGCUCCAAGUAGAAAAGCCUGUCCAAAUGUCAUCCAGCUGAGGUGUGUUUCACAAGAUUCUUCUCAAACCCCUGGGAUCCUAUGGGAGAAGCCUGCUGCUGUGCGUCAGAGGAGAAAGUCACUCCUUCAACACACGGGUGGGCGAUUUCCUGGUAUCAAAUUUCCUGGGGGAACUCUGAGACUGCGAGGAGCCGUGCUUCACAACAGGCCUUGGUUCAGUCACACAGACACAUGGGUGUGCUCUGGGCAGUGGCGGUCUUGUGGGGACGUGGACCUUUAACCAGAGGGCUGCGAGGUCAGGUACCGGGAUCAGCAGGAUUAAACCGGGCCGGGACGGAUGUCCAGCAGUGUUUGCCUCACUUCCCUUCUCAGUGUGGUGCCCUUGAACGAUGCGGCUCCCCUGGAACUGCUCACAGGUCAAAGUACAUUAUUGGUGAAAUUCAUCCGUGAGAAAGUGAAGGCUAUCAACCCUUCCGUCUCCUCAAGCAACCAGGCCUUUCAAGUUGCUGGAGAAAGCAAAGGACUUUGACAACAGGUUCUGGAGGGUAAUUCUCCAUAUCUCCUCCUAUGUCUCCAAUCUCCUUCCCAGGGUGUUAAAAUAUGGAUGAAACUUACCUGACAAGGCGCAGAGUUACAUAAGCCUCCCUCCGUCCUCUCACCUGGAUCCCAGCGGCUUCAUUAUGCUGCGUGAGGAUCAUUUGGCUGUUCACCGAAAGGUGCGGCUGCACAAACUCCACCGGGAAAUAAAACGUCUAGACAAAGAUGUCUCAGCACACAGCACCAACAGAUGGGCCACUUCAUUACUGACUCAUGAGACGGCACACGCCCAGUACCAGCUCAGCCUGGGAGAAUCACACUUUAAGCAACAUGCCAGGAUGAAUCGCAUCUGCCAGCCAAACCUGGAUCCGCCCCCCCUCCCCUCUGAGGCAGGAGAUUAACUUGUGUUUGCUGCAUAACCGCGGAGAGGAAGACGGACAGAAGCAGAGGGGACAGAGAGGACAGCACCUGUGUCAGACUUUCAGCGAGGAAACUCAACCAAGAGAUGCUUUUGUGCGUCACCAUCAAGCGACUGCUGGUUCUUAAGGGCCAAAGCAGUGGCAGAAAGCUAAUUAGGAGCCUGUAGGUGUCUGCAGUGAACGCAUCCCAGGGUUAAAACAAGAUGAGGUGAAAAUGAAAUGGCUUCUGUGCCUGAGUGAGGGGGAAAAAAAGCCAUCAAGCACCGCUAAAUUAAAACCACUCUAUGUAAUUGAAUAAAUGAUCAUCCCAUUAAAAUGCAUCGUUUUGCCGAGAGACUCUGGUUGCCUGCAUUCUGUUAAAGAUGCUGGAUACUCCCUCCAUGCCACUAGACUCGCAACUCUCAAAGUGGUGAGGAAUUAUUUUGACAAAGAUGUCAACAAUCUUCUCUGCCGUCUCAGACAAACCCAACACCAACAGUGACCCAACCCAAGUCUGCUGCUUUCAAUUGUCAAUUCUCAUUAUAGCAUUUCAAGCAGUUUCAUAAUUAAAAGUGAAGAAUAAGGCAUUUUCUAUUACCAUUCUCCAUCUGCAAACUUGGCUAAGCAGUAGUCUCCUCUGCGUGGAGCAUAAGAUCCUUCCACAGGUGGAUGAGCGGCGAUCUCUGCUCUCAUGGUCUCCAUCAGGGUCUCCAGCUGGGCUCCUGGUGGAAACGGACCAAAAAAAUAUUAAAUCCAGAGAUUUUAAGGUUCCUACACGUUUCUCCUGGUUAAAUUUAAGACUUUUUAAGACUCUACAUAUGAAAAAUGAAGACCAAUUUCUCUGCCUAAUUCCCAGCCCUAUGGACGAAAAAGAAUAAACGAAAUUCUUGAAUUUCAGAACAAUUUCUUAUCAGUAAGGAAUAGCGGUUCAAAUUUCAGUAACUGAAUUACAAUUACUAGACUCAUUAUUUUAUUACUCACAUUUCGGUGCAAUGAAACUUUACUUAAAUAAUCUAAAAACUUUUUAGACUAGAAAAGUCACUUGGAAAAAGUUUUAAGCUGUACCAUUUUUAAGACCAAGAUAUCAACAUUCAAGACUUCUUACAUGCUUUUUAAGGCUUUAUUUCCAAAUGUUCAAAUUCAAGGCUUUUAAGGCUUUUUAAGACUCUACAGGAACCUUGGAUUUGAGCUUCUGGAAACUGAAUUUAUGAUUUAACCAAACCAGAACUCAAAUGAUCAUUCUGGACUUGGGCCUUUAAGUCAAUGAGUCACAACUAUGCCGAGUAGUUUAAUAGUCGAUUAAUUGUUUUUUUUAAAUCUCACAACUAUUCUCCAUGCAUCCUAAUACUGCAUUUGCAUUAUCCUUGAAACAAUUGUUUGUGGCAGCCCUAUUCUGAAGAGGAGAAGACUUUUGACGUAGAUCAGAGGUCUACAACCUGCGACUACGCGGCCACAUACGGCUCUUUUAGUCCUCAAUUAAAAAAAA